Molecule: ribosomal RNA, 253 nt
Filed under: uncultured bacterium
Lineage: Bacteria
Description: partial 16S ribosomal RNA
Rfam family: Bacterial small subunit ribosomal RNA
Source: RNAcentral
UACGUAGGGGGCAAGCGUUGUCCGGAAUCAUUGGGCGUAAAGAGCGUGUAGGUUGUUCGAUAAGUCUGCUGUGAAAGUCCAAGGCUCAACCUUGGGAUGCCGGUGGAUACUGUCUGGCUAGAGUACGGAAGAGGCGAGUGGAAUUCCCGGUGUAGCGGUGAAAUGCGCAGAUAUCGGGAGGAACACCAAUUGCGAAGGCAGCUCGCUGGGACGUUACUGACACUGAGACGCGAAAGCGUGGGGAGCAAACAGG